Molecule: non-coding RNA, 26 nt
Filed under: Mus musculus (house mouse)
Lineage: Eukaryota; Metazoa; Chordata; Mammalia; Rodentia; Muridae
Also listed under: 1 other name
Source: RNAcentral
UAAGUUCCUCUAUCCCCUUCAGUUGC